RNAcentral lists this long non-coding RNA (463 nucleotides) under Phascolarctos cinereus (koala). RNAcentral's name for it is "lncRNA (ENSPCIG00000021290.2)". The record is from RNAcentral. Lineage: Eukaryota; Metazoa; Chordata; Mammalia; Diprotodontia; Phascolarctidae.
AUCAACAAGAAAGGAAGGAAGGAAGGAGAAAAGGAAGGAAGGAAGGAAGAAAGGAAAGAGGAAAGUGAGAAAACAGAAAAAAGCAAAGAAGGAAUAGAGAAACAUAGAAAAAGAAAAAUUCAAGAGGAAAGAAAAAAGAAAGAGGGAGAGAAAGAAAGAGAAGACUAAAGGAACUGAUUGUAAGAACAAGAUACAACUGCCCCAAAGAACAUCUACUGUUCUAUCCUGUAAAUUGUGACAAGACUCAAUGGGCUAAUACUUUCCAAAUGAUGCAUCAAAAUGAUGCAUCUUUAGCUGAAGCAGAAUGAAAACAGCUUGGAAAGCAGAAUUAUCCAAGUCAGGCUACCCUUUGAAAUAGGUCACACUAUGGAGGGUUUUCAUGAUUAACUAUAAAAUGUCUCCCUAACAUAGAUAGUACCAACACAGAAGUGCUCCUCAAGGUAGGGUGGAGACUUUAAUUGGC